UUGGUUUGUUACGGGUGGUUGGCUCUUUGCUUGCGCAACAACUUCCACCUGGCAUACCUCCUCAGUUAUGYGUCAAGGCUUGUAUCGCCUUGAGAGUAUUGCGGGUUUCCUGUAUUGCAUACCAAAUUGCUGGUAUUGUUUUGGUUGAUUGAAGUCCCUUUUCAUCUUGUGUUGCUGUUGUGAUGCAAGAUGAACCUUGAAGCGGUCUCUAUGUUCCAUCAUGUUGAUGCAAAUGCGUUGAUGUUGUGGCCCAUUGAGUGUUGCUUGGUAUCCUUGAUACGGAACAUUAUGUGGGCAUGGGGUCUCUCAUGACUCUUGUUUUGUCCUUGUUCAGYGUUCUUUGAAACGACGGUUCAUGCGYGCCUAGGCUYGUACCUGCGCGAUGUUCUUUGUCAAAGAGGAAUGCUACCUGGUUGAUCCUGCCAGUAGUCAUAUGCUUGUCUCAAAGAUUAAGC
RNAcentral lists this unclassified non-coding RNA (455 nucleotides) under Turanecio lorentii. RNAcentral describes it as "Iranecio lorentii partial external transcribed spacer". The stretch from base 407 to 455 matches the Rfam family "Eukaryotic small subunit ribosomal RNA", at positions 1 to 49 of the family's 1831-position model. The record is from RNAcentral. Lineage: Eukaryota; Viridiplantae; Streptophyta; Magnoliopsida; Asterales; Asteraceae.